GAUGAACGCUAGCGGGAGGCCUAACACAUGCCAGCCGAGCGGUAUGGGUAGCUUGCUACCCAGAGAGCGGCGUACGGGUGCGUAACACGUGUGCAACCUGCCCCUAUCCGGGGGAUAGCCCUCCGAAAGGAGGAUUAAUACCCCAUAAUAUAUCUGGUGGCAUCACUAGAUAUUGAAAACCCCGGUGGAUAGGGAUGGGCACGCGCAAGAUUAGAUAGUUGGCGGGGUAACGGCCCACCAAGUCGAUGAUCUUUAGGGGUCCUGAGAGGGAGAUCCCCCACACUGGUACUGAGACACGGACCAGACUCCUACGGGAGGCAGCAGUGAGGAAUAUUGGACAAUGGGUGGAAGCCUGAUCCAGCCAUCCCGCGUGAGGGACGACGGCCCUAUGGGUUGUAAACCUCUUUUGUACGGGGAUAAACCUAUCUACGUGUAGAUAGCUGAAGGUACCGUACGAAUAAGCACCGGCUAACUCCGUG
This 479-nucleotide ribosomal RNA is filed under the name uncultured bacterium. RNAcentral describes it as "partial 16S ribosomal RNA". It matches the Rfam family "Bacterial small subunit ribosomal RNA", at positions 28 to 507 of the family's 1533-position model. The record is from RNAcentral.